UUGACCUCGAAUCGAGGUAGGAAUACCACGCUGUAACUUAAGCAUAUCAAUAAGCGGAGGAAAAGAAACCAACCGGGAUUACCUCAGUAACGGCGAGGAAAACCGGCAAUAUGGGAAGUAAAAAGUCGUAACCAAGGGUAACGGACAAGUAGUGGUCAGGAAAGCAAACA
This 170-nucleotide ribosomal RNA is filed under the name Erysiphe cruciferarum. Its description in RNAcentral is "partial 28S ribosomal RNA". It matches the Rfam family "Eukaryotic large subunit ribosomal RNA", at positions 1 to 369 of the family's 3401-position model. Lineage: Eukaryota; Fungi; Ascomycota; Leotiomycetes; Helotiales; Erysiphaceae. The record is from RNAcentral.